Molecule: long non-coding RNA, 1822 nt
Filed under: Homo sapiens (human)
Lineage: Eukaryota; Metazoa; Chordata; Mammalia; Primates; Hominidae
Description: HSALNT0071423
Source: RNAcentral
CCCCCACUUGGACUGAACCCUAAUCUUCAGAGCAAGACUCCUUAGGAUUAGGAUAAAAAAAAAUUUAAGAUCUCAGAAGUUUGAACUGGUUUGUCCCUGACUAGGUAGAGAGUUUCCCUUGGUUGUUUCAGUGCUGAGAAUUUGACCCUGUCUGGUGCUGCACCUAUAUUUUGUAAUUAUAUACAUUCAUUGUUGUUAUAACAAUUUUCAAAAGCCACUUAUAUGGGCUUAUUUUACACAGAUAAAGUUAACCAUUGUCUUGUUUAAGCCAUGUUACUUUCAAUUACAAGCAGCCUACACGAAUUCUAACUGAUACUGAUGGAAUUGGAUUAAAUGACUUUUGGUUCCUUUCUAGUUCUGACAUAUGAGCUUAAAUAUUUUUUGAGGGUCAGUUCUAUGCCUGGUGCUAUGCUAACUGUCCACAUUUCCUUCCUAUCUGUCCACAUAUCCUUCAAAGUGAUCUUCUUUGAACUACAUGCUUGAAGCCCUGAGUUGGUUAGCAUUCAGAGACUGGGUGAUGCAGCUUGAGUGGCUGAAUUUUCUCCCUACCUUCUGACAGUCAGUGGGCUCUGAUGAUCAGUAUCUUGGUCCUGCCCAUUUUUGCUAAGAGCAUGAAAUAACUUAGUUUCUAACCUCAGUAUCCUAGUUUUGAAGUCCAGACUGAUGCUCAGAGAGUCUAUACUUCUUUUUUUUUUAAAUUUUACUUGAAGUUCCGGGAUACAUGUGCAGAACGUGCAGGUUUGUUACAUAGGUAUACAUGUGCCAUGGUGCACCUAUCAACCCAUCAUCUAGGUUUUAAGACCUGCAUGCAUUAGGUAUUUGUCCUAAUGCUCUCCCUCCCUCCCCUUGCUCCCCACCCCCUAACAGGCCCUGGUGUGUGAUGUUCCCCUCCCUGUGUCCAUUGUUCAGCUCCCACUUAUAAGUGAGAACAGGCGGUGUUUGGUUUUCUGUUCCUGUGUUAGUUUGCUGAGAAUGAUGGUUUCCAGCUUCAUCUAUGUACCUGAGCGCACCACACCUGAUGCAUCGGUAGCCUGUGACUACACUGUCAAGGUCAGCCCACUUGUAACCCCCACUUGUACCCCAACCCCUGAUCUGGGGAUUCCCCGUAUCUGUCAUUGUCACUACUCUCCCUUGGGGUCUUCCAUCUGAUCACCAAGGCUUAGUUUGAGACAUCUGGUUAGCAUCUGCUACUUACGCUUACAUUACACGUCACCAGGGACUCUACUUGCUUCACCUUCUUUGGGCAGUCCUAGGACGAAACAAUUGGGUCCAUUUGUUCAUUCAUUCAUUUUCUCAUUCCUUCUGCAGUUAGUACCUCUUAUUUAAUAUAGCCAAGGGAUCAAGAUACAGUUACCCUUGAUGAGGUCAUCAAGAUCUAUUUGCUAGAAUGCUUUAGAUAUGUUAACCUUUUAUCAGAAGGAAGAAAAUGGCAGGAGGCCACUGAAGUUCAACGGACAGAACUCUUAUUUCAGCAAAUGUGGCCAGAUUUGCUAAAGAUUGUGUUUAUCUGGGUCUAGCAUUAUCUCUUUGCAUUUCUCUCUCACACUCUCCCUGUAGUAAGAUAUCCGAAGUCAGUAUUUUCCAGAUGAUGAUGAUCCACUGGAGGAAGAUGUCCUUGUUGAUGUAUGUGUUUUAGGUUCUCCAACAAAUAAGUAUAGAGCUUUCGUUUUUCUUUAUUUAUUUUUAAAUUUUAUUUAUUUAUUUUUUGACAGGGUCUCACUCUAUCACAUAGGCUGGAAUGUAGUGGCGCGAUCACAGCUCAUUGCAGCCUUGGCCUCCCAGGCUCAGGUGAUCCUCCCACCUCAGCCUCCCAAGUAGCUCA